Molecule: non-coding RNA, 429 nt
Organism: Macaca mulatta (Rhesus monkey)
Lineage: Eukaryota; Metazoa; Chordata; Mammalia; Primates; Cercopithecidae
Source: RefSeq, a predicted model, not a curated record
AGGUCACAGACCAGUUAAAUGCCGCCAUUUUGCCUCUUAGUGCGCAUGCUCAAGCUCACUCAUCCUGCGCCUGAGAUCUCACUGAUACCAAAAACUAUGCCCAGCCAUUCCCAUGCUGCUCACCAUGAGACAAAGCACAGCAGUGCGGUGGAGAGAGACUGGAGUGGAAAAACAAUGAUCAUGAUCAAUUGCAGUUAUAGGACCAUGUGUGCUCAACAUUAGGGCCUUGGGUCCUUGGAAGAAAACUGGACAAAUGGAGGCAGAAGAGGUGGCUGAAGCUGAAGCCCUAUCUUUAGGGUUGCUUACCUCUGACUUCCAAGGGUCUGGAGUCCAGCCUCACCUCCCACAAAAGGCUGUGAGAACAAUGGAAGUGGAGGCUUUCAGUUCAUAAAAUGCUCUGUCAUUAUUACACUUGAUUUGAUAUUUUUA